AUUGAACGCUGGCGGCAUGCUUUACACAUGCAAGUCGAACGGCAGCGCGGGCUUCGGCCUGGCGGCGAGUGGCGAACGGGUGAGUAAUGCAUCGGAACGUGCCCAGUAGUGGGGGAUAGCCCGGCGACAGCCGGAUUAAUACCGCAUACGACCUGAGGGUGAAAGCGGGGGACCGAAAGGCCUCGCGCUAUUGGAGCGGCCGAUGUCGGAUUAGCUAGUUGGUGGGGUAAAGGCUUACCAAGGCGACGAUCCGUAGCUGGUCUGAGAGGACGACCAGCCACACUGGGACUGAGACACGGCCCAGACUCCUACGGGAGGCAGCAGUGGGGAAUUUUGGACAAUGGGGGCAACCCUGAUCCAGCCAUGCCGCGUGCGGGAAGAAGGCCUUCGGGUUGUAAACCGCUUUUGUUCGGGAAGAAAAUCUCUGGGCUAAUACCCCGGGGGGAUGACGGUACCGGAAGAAUAAGCACCGGCUAACUACGUG
RNAcentral lists this ribosomal RNA (484 nucleotides) under uncultured bacterium. RNAcentral's name for it is "partial 16S ribosomal RNA". It matches the Rfam family "Bacterial small subunit ribosomal RNA", at positions 28 to 507 of the family's 1533-position model. The record is from RNAcentral.